RNAcentral lists this long non-coding RNA (1033 nucleotides) under Falco tinnunculus (common kestrel). Its description in RNAcentral is "lncRNA (ENSFTIG00000005168.1)". Lineage: Eukaryota; Metazoa; Chordata; Aves; Falconiformes; Falconidae. The record is from RNAcentral.
CUUUUCCAACCUAAAUGGUUCUAUAUUGCAUGAUAACCUCCGGCCUGUAGUCCCAUCUUUUGGCAUCAGAAUCUUGGUGAUUUUUUGGUUGAGCUGGCAAUUGCAGUGGUUCUAGGCUUGGUUUUGGGGGUUGUUUGGGUGGGUUUUGGUUUUGGGAGAAGUAUUGAACACCUGUGCUUUAAUCACCUUUCUGCCCUCUGUGUCUCUACAGAACUUGGUCACCUCCCCCUGCCAUCCCUUCUGAGCUGAGGCAUCUUCCCAAACCCUGCCACCCCUUUCCUGAGCCGAGGCAUCUUCCCACACAGAGGCAGGAGCUGUGCAGUAUGCCAAAUCACUGAAAUAAGGAGGAUGGCUGGCUGAGAGCACGCAGGAGCGGCAGCGCUAGCAGCAGAAGAGGAAACCCACAUCUCCCAAGCACCAGACCAGUAGCUCCUCCAGGGACUGCUGGUUUUGCUCUGGUUGCUGCGUGAUGCUCAACUCUUCUGUCCUGAAGCGGAGCCUGUACUGGUGCCAGUGUAGCUAAUGGAGAAAACCUCAGUGUUUUGGAGGUCUGUACCACAGUGUGCUCUCUGCUUGAGACUGCUUGGAAAGUACUGGAGGUUAGAAAUUCAAGCUCUGUGCAUACAGGUUUUUGCAUUAUAAGAAGAAAAAGUGAAGUACUUCAAUGUUCAGAGCACCUGAAGGGCAGGUAGGUACAAAACGUUGGUGUCCUUGCAUCUGCGAUGGGUUUGGUAUGUGAUCGAAGUUUACUUACUGCUCUUGCCCUAAUGCACUUAAGACCUCCCUGAGUUUGAAAAGUGCUUUGAGAACUUGAGAUGCUCAGGUCUUUCUAGAAAGAUAAAGCAGAAAUUGCUAUAUUCACCUUCUCUUUCAGACCUUCUAUUGUAACUGCCUUCUGUGAGCACCAAAUUUAUACGAAAAAUUUAUAAAGCAUUAAAAAGUCAUUGCAGUCUGUCUCCAUUCCCCCACUGAUUGCUGCAGCUUCUCAGUUUUGUACUCAGUUUCCAUCACUUGGGAGACACAUACAUCAUGC